GGACGAUAAUGACGGUACUUUAGGAGGAAGCUCCGGCUAACUACGUGCCAGCAGCCGCGGUAAUACGUAGGGAGCGAGCGUUGUCCGGAAUUACUGGGCGUAAAGGGAGCGUAGGCGGGAUCGCAAGUCAGAUGUGAAAUACAUGGGCUCAACCCAUGGGCUGCAUUUGAAACUGCGGUUCUUGAGUGAAGUAGAGGUAAGCGGAAUUCCUGGUGUAGCGGUGAAAUGCGUAGAUAUCAGGAGGAACACCGGUGGCGAAGGCGGCUUACUGGGCUUUUACUGACGCUGAGGCUCGAAAGCGCGGGGAGCAAACAGGAUUAGAUACCCUGCUAGUCCACGCUGUAAACGAUGAUUACUAGGUGUGGGGGGACUGACCCCUUCCGUGCCGCAGUUAACACAAUAGGUAAUCCACCUGGGGAGUACGGCCGCAAGGUUGAAACUCAAAGGAAUUGACGGGGGCCCGCACAAGCAGUGGAGUAUGUGGUUUAAUUCGAAGCAACGCGAAGAACCUUACCAGGUCUUGACAUCGUAUGCAUACCAUAGAGAUAUGGGAAAUCCCUUCGGGGACAUAUAGACAGGUGGUGCAUGGUUGUCGUCAGCUCGUGUCGUGAGAUGUUGGGUUAAGUCCCGCAACGAGCGCAACCCUUACCUUUAGUUGCUACGCAAGAGCACUCUAAAGGGACUGCCGUUGACAAAACGGAGGAAGGUGGGGAUGACGUCAAAUCAUCAUGCCCCUUAUGACCUGGGCUACACACGUACUACAAUGGCAAUUAACAAAGAGAAGCAAGACAGUGAUGUGGAGCGAAUCUCAAAAAAUUGUCCCAGUUCAGAUUGC
Molecule: ribosomal RNA, 835 nt
Filed under: uncultured rumen bacterium
Lineage: Bacteria
Description: bacterial SSU rRNA
Rfam family: Bacterial small subunit ribosomal RNA
Source: RNAcentral